This is an RNA transcript of Peromyscus leucopus (white-footed mouse), 2656 nucleotides long. It is a transcript of the gene named sialic acid-binding Ig-like lectin 10, with no coding region annotated. The transcript is spliced from 12 exons. The record is from RefSeq and is a predicted model, not a curated record. NCBI's taxonomy places the organism in Eukaryota, Metazoa, Chordata, Mammalia, Rodentia, Cricetidae.
GCCCUUCCACAGCCAGGUCCCCAGGCUAGACACAGCCCUGUCCUUUCCUUCUCAGGCACCAGGGACAACUGGGAAGGACUGCUUCCAAAUGUCCAAGCUCCAAAUGCCCCACAAAACAUGGAGUGGGCGAGUGGAUAUGGGGCGAGUGGAUGAGAAAGGGAGAGACCAGUGGCCUCAGAACUUGCCAUCAGCAGUUCGUCUCGCACCAGUUCCCCGGGCUCAGCUUCCGCCUCCAUUUCCCUUCUCUCUUGCCCCAGUCUGUCACAGCUGGGGAAGGAGGCCAGCGUGUGCAGGUCUAGGAUCCCCCUACGCCCGCGAUGUCACUGCUGCUGUUUCUGUUGCCCUUGCUGUUGGGAGGAUCUCAAGGUCAAGACAGACGAUACAACCUACAGGUGAACAGACUGGUGAAGGUGCAGGAGGGUCUGUGUGUUGUCGUGCCCUGCUCUUUCUCCUCCCCCGAGAGCCGCUGGGUUGGCUCUGGCCCAGCUUACGGCUACUGGUUCAAAGGCAUCAGAAAACCAACACUUAAAUUUCCAGUGGCCACAAAUAACAAAGAUAAAGAGAUAGAACCAGAAGCCCAGGGGCGAUUCCAGCUCUUGGGGGAUCUCCCAAACAAGAACUGUUCCUUGAUGAUCAAAGAUGUGCAGUGGAGAGACUUGGGAAGCUAUUUCUUCCGGGUGGAGAAAGGAUCUGAGAAAUUCAGUUUUCCCGAAGGCUUCUAUCUGCAAGUAGAAGGCCUGACUCACAAGCCAGAUGUCUUCAUUCCUGAGAUCCUGGAACCUGGGCAGCCAGUGACAAUUGUCUGCUUGUUUCCCUGGACCUUCAAGCAAUGCCCAGAUCCUUCUUUCUCCUGGAUGGGGGCUGCCAUCUCCUCCCAAGAAACCAGACCACACACCUCCUAUUACUCGGUACUCAGCUUUACCCCAGGACCUGAGCACCAUGAUACUGAGCUCACAUGUCAAGUGGACUUGUCUAGAAAGAGAAUACAGAGGACUGUCCAACUAAGAAUGGCCUAUGCCCCCAGAGAUCUUGUUAUCAGCAUUUUCCGUGACAAUGUGUCAGAAUUGCAUGGGAACACCCCACAUCUGGAAGUCCAGCAAGGCCAGUCUCUGCGCCUCCUCUGUGCUGCUGACAGCCAGCCCCCUGCCACACUGAGCUGGGGCCUGGAGAACCGAGUCCUCUCUUGGUCCAGCCCUGUGAGCUCCAGAACCCUGGCACUGGAGCUACUCCAGGUGAAAGCUGGGGACUCAGGACACUACACCUGCCAAGCAGAGAACAGGCUGGGUUCCCAGCAACACACCCUGGACCUCUCUGUGCUGUAUCCCCCAGAGGACCUGAGAGUGACUGUUUCCCAGGCAAACAGGACAGUGUUGGAAAUCCGCAGGAAUGGCACCUCCCUUCCAGUCCUGGAGGGCCAAAGCCUGUGUCUAGUCUGUGUCACUCACAGCAACCCCCCAGCCAAUCUGAGCUGGACUGGGGUGGCACAGACUCUGAUCCCAACCCAGCCUUCAGAGCCGGGGGUGCUGGAGCUGCCUCUGGUCCGGAGGGAACAUGAAGGAGAAUUCAGCUGUGCUGCGCAGAACCCACUGGGCACCCAGUACAUCUCUCUGAGCCUCUCUGUGCACUACCCCCCACAGAUGCUCAGCUCCUCCUGCUCCUGGGAAGCUGAGGGUCUGCACUGCAGCUGCUCCUCCAGAGCCUGGCCCACCCCGUCCCUGCGCUGGCGGCUGGGGGAGGGGCUGCUGGAGGGGAACAGCAGCAAUGUCUCCUUCACGGUCACCUCCAGCUCACUUGGACCCUGGGUCAACAGUUCUCUGAGCUUCCAUGGGGAGCUCGGGCCCAGCCUCCGGCUCAGCUGUGAGGUCUGGAACACCCAUGGGGCCCAGAGCGCCUCUGUCCUGCUACUGCCUGAUAAGAACAGUUCCACAGCGUUCUCCAAGGGAGUAGUUUUGGGCUUUGGGAUUGCAGCCUUCCUUGCCCUCUGCCUCAUGAUCAUCGUGAAGACCCUCCAGAAGAAAGGAACCCAAGAGGAAACCUCAAGACCCAAGAUCUCUCGGGGCAGCACAAUCCUGGAUUACAUCAAUGUGGUCCCCAAGACCAGGUCCCUGCAGUCUCCAGAUGCCACCACAUGAGUGUUCUGGUUGAACUGCUAGGCCUAUGUCUCCUGGACCUCAAAUCUCCAUACAUGGAGUUGGCCAGCAACAGGGGUCCCAGGAUGGAACUCAAGUCUCCAAGCUUGCAUUACAAGCACCUUUACCCACCCAGCCAUCCUUUUGGCCUCCAUCUUGUUCUUUCUUAAGCACACCCCCAAACUCUGUUAGAGUGCUUGAAUUUGUUGUUGCCUUCCUUCAGAGAAUUUUGCAGAAACUGCAUGGUUCCUGGCUUCAUUUAAUACUCUUUGCUUGAUAAUCACCCCAUCAAAGAUGCUCAGAAUGACCUGUUCACUUAUUAUUUGGCAUUUAUAUAUAACAAUUGUGUCUGUUUAUACAUACCAUGUGCCACUCACUAUACUCACACAGUACAGUGAUGAAAUUGGGAUAAUUAACAAAUGCCCUCUACCUCAGAAUUAUUUCUUUGUGGUGAGACUAUUUUAUCUGUAGCUAUGACUCUUCUUUUAAUUUUGUUUAAGGUUUUUUUUUUUUCUCUUGGAAAUAGG